UUUUAAAUAUCCUCCUAGUUAGCAUUCAUUCUCUUUUCUAUGUCUUCUACUUGUUGCUUUAAUGAUGAGGCAAUUAAUAUAGCUAAAAGCAUCAAUCUUUUAGUAGCUAACAAUAUUGGAGCAUGAUUUUAAUUUAUAAUAGGUAGACUAUUACUAAGACUAAUUUAACUUUCUCUCAACUCUUAAAUAUGUGAUUUAAUUGAAAUGAAUUGAGAAAUAGACUCAUCUUCUUUUUUCCAAAGGUGCUUAUAGUUCUUGUUUAUGACAUCUAU
RNAcentral lists this long non-coding RNA (272 nucleotides) under Physcomitrium patens. RNAcentral describes it as "long non-coding RNA (PPAT_LNC004266)". Lineage: Eukaryota; Viridiplantae; Streptophyta; Bryopsida; Funariales; Funariaceae. The record is from RNAcentral.